GACGAACGCUGGCGGCGUGCUUAACACAUGCAAGUCGAACGGAAAGGCCCUGCUUUUGUGGGGUGCUCGAGUGGCGAACGGGUGAGUAACACGUGAGUAACCUGCCCUUGACUUUGGGAUAACUUCAGGAAACUGGGGCUAAUACCGGAUAGGAGCUCCUGCUGCAUGGUGGGGGUUGGAAAGUUUCGGCGGUUGGGGAUGGACUCGCGGCUUAUCAGCUGGUUGGUGGGGUAGUGGCUUUCCAAGGCUUUGACGGGUAGCCGGCCUGAGAGGGUGGCCGGCCACAUUGGGACUGAGAUACGGCCCAGACUCCUACGGGAGGCAGCAGUGGGGAAUAUUGCACAAUGGGCGGAAGCCUGAUGCAGCAACGCCGCGUGCGGAAUGACGGCCUUCGGGUUGUAAACCGCUUUCGCCUGUGACGAAGCGUGAGUGACGGUAAUGGGUAAAGAAGCACCGGCUAACUACGUG
RNAcentral lists this ribosomal RNA (468 nucleotides) under uncultured bacterium. RNAcentral's name for it is "partial 16S ribosomal RNA". It matches the Rfam family "Bacterial small subunit ribosomal RNA", at positions 28 to 507 of the family's 1533-position model. The record is from RNAcentral.